UCCGGUUGAUCCUGCCGGAGGUUACUGCUAUCGGUGUUCGCCUAAGCCAUGCGAGUCAUAUGUAGCAAUACAUGGCGUACUGCUCAGUAACACGUGGAUAACCUGCCCUUGGGACCGGCAUAACCCCGGGAAACUGGGGAUAAUUCCGGAUAACGCAUAUUUGCUGGAAUGCUUUAUGCGUCAAAAGGAUUCGUCUGCCCAAGGAUGGGUCUGCGGCCUAUCAGGUAGUAGUGGGUGUAAUGUACCUACUAGCCAGCGACGGGUACGGGUUGUGAGAGCAAGAGCCCGGAGAUGGAUUCUGAGACAUGAAUCCAGGCCCUACGGGGCGCAGCAGGCGCGAAAACUUUACAAUGCGGGAAACCGUGAUAAGGGGACACCGAGUGCCAGCAUCAUAUGCUGGCUGUCCGGAUGUGUAAAAUACAUCCGUUAGCAAGGGCCGGGCAAGACCGGUGCCAGCCGCCGCGGUAACACCGGCGGCCCGAGUGGUGAUCGUGAUUAUUGGGUCUAAAGGGUCCGUAGCCGGUUUGGUCAGUCCUCCGGGAAAUCUGAUAGCUCAACUAUUAAGCUUUUCGGGGGAUACUGCCAGACUUGGAACCGGGAGAGGUAAGAAGUACUACAGGGGGUAGGGAGUGAAAUCUUGUAAUCCCUGUGGGAACACCUGUGGCGAAG
This 669-nucleotide ribosomal RNA is filed under the name Methanosarcina mazei. RNAcentral describes it as "bacterial SSU rRNA". It matches the Rfam family "Archaeal small subunit ribosomal RNA", at positions 1 to 671 of the family's 1478-position model. Lineage: Archaea; Methanobacteriati; Methanobacteriota; Methanomicrobia; Methanosarcinales; Methanosarcinaceae. The record is from RNAcentral.